UACACUCCUGCGGGAGGCAGCAGUGGGGAAUUUUGGACAAUGGGCGAAAGCCUGAUCCAGCAAUGCCGCGUGAGUGAAGAAGGCCUUCGGGUUGUAAAGCUCUUUUGUCAGGGAAGAAACGGUGAGAGCUAAUAUCUUUUGCUAAUGACGGUACCUGAAGAAUAAGCACCGGCUAACUACGUGCCAGCAGCCGCGGUAAUACGUAGGGUGCAAGCGUUAAUCGGAAUUACUGGGCGUAAAGCGUGCGCAGGCGGUUUUGUAAGUCUGAUGUGAAAUCCCCGGGCUCAACCUGGGAAUUGCAUUGGAGACUGCAAGGCUAGAAUCUGGCAGAGGGGGGUAGAAUUCCACGUGUAGCAGUGAAAUGCGUAGAUAUGUGGAGGAACACCGAUGGCGAAGGCAGCCCCCUGGGUCAAGAUUGACGCUCAUGCACGAAAGCGUGGGGAGCAAACAGGAUUAGAAACCCCGGUAGUCCCAUGAU
Molecule: ribosomal RNA, 478 nt
Filed under: uncultured organism
Description: partial 16S ribosomal RNA
Rfam family: Bacterial small subunit ribosomal RNA
Source: RNAcentral